UUUCCGUAGGUGAACCUGCGGAAGGAUCAUUAAAGUUAUAGUCCCCCGGCCCCUCCGGGCUGGGGUCUUCUAUACCACCCUUUGUUUAUUACACCUUUGUUGCUUUGGCAGGCCUGCCCUCGGGCUGCUGGCUCCGGCCGGCUCGUGCCUGCCAGAGGACCUAAACUCUGUUUGUAUAUGAAGUCUGAGUACUAUAUAAUAGUUAAAACUUUCAACAACGGAUCUCUCGGUUCUG
Molecule: unclassified non-coding RNA, 235 nt
Filed under: plant metagenome
Description: partial contains small subunit ribosomal RNA, internal transcribed spacer 1, and 5.8S ribosomal RNA
Source: RNAcentral